This 377-nucleotide ribosomal RNA is filed under the name Crossodactylus sp. RBF806. RNAcentral's name for it is "partial large subunit ribosomal RNA". It matches the Rfam family "Bacterial large subunit ribosomal RNA", at positions 1962 to 2493 of the family's 2925-position model. The record is from RNAcentral. Lineage: Eukaryota; Metazoa; Chordata; Amphibia; Anura; Hylodidae.
UAAUCACUUGUUCUUUAAAUGAGGACUUGUAUGAAUGGCACCACGAGGGUUUUACUGUCUCCUUUUUCUAAUCAGUGAAACUAAUCUUCCCGUGAAGAAGCGGGAAUAAACAUAUAAGACGAGAAGACCCUAUGGAGCUUUAAAACAUAGAAAUGCCAUACUUCAUUAUAUAUUCCGAUAAUUACCACUUAAUCUAGCAUUAUAAUCUAUAGAUUUUAGGUUGGGGUGACCAUGGAGCAAAAAUCAACCUCCAUAUUGAAAAAACUUCAUUUAAAGCAAAAAAUUACCACUUUAAGCAUCAACAUAUUGACAUUAAUUGACCCAAUAAUUUGAUCAAUGAACCAAGUUACCCUAGGGAUAACAGCGCAAUCUACUUC